RNAcentral lists this ribosomal RNA (676 nucleotides) under uncultured archaeon. RNAcentral's name for it is "bacterial SSU rRNA". It matches the Rfam family "Archaeal small subunit ribosomal RNA", at positions 1 to 665 of the family's 1478-position model. The record is from RNAcentral.
UCCGGUUGAUCCUGCCAGAGGCCGCUGCUAUCUGGCUGGGACUAAGCCAUGCUAGUCUAGGGGCUUGUACUCCUUCGGGGGUGCAAGCACCGGCGGACGGCUCAGUAACACGUGGACAACCUGCCCUCGGGUGGGGGAUAACCCCGGGAAACUGGGGCUAAUCCCCCAUAGGUGAUGGGUGCUGGAAUGCCCCAUCUCCGAAAGCGCUUAGCGCCCGAGGAUGGGUCUGCGGCGGAUUAGGUAGUUGGUGGGGUAACGGCCCACCAAGCCUAAGAUCCGUACGGGCUGUGGGAGCAGGAGCCCGGAGAUGGACCCUGAGACAAGGGUCCAGGCCCUACGGGGCGCAGCAGGCGCGAAACCUCCGCAAUGCGGGAAACCGCGACGGGGUUAGCCGGAGUGCCCGUGCAUUGCACGGGCUGUCGGGGUGCCUAAACAGCACCCCAUAGCAAGGGCCGGGCAAGGCCGGUGGCAGCCGCCGCGGUAAGACCGGCGGCCCGAGUGGCGGCCACUCUUAUUGGGCCUAAAGCGUCCGUAGCCGGCCCAGUAAGUCCCCCGGGAAAUCUGGUCGCUUAACGAUCAGACUUCCGGGGGAUACUGCUGGGCUAGGGACCGGGAGAGGCCGAGGGUAUUCCCGGGGUAGGGGUGAAAUCCUGUAAUCCCCGGAGGACCACCUGUG